GGCGAGAUGGCCGAGCGGUCUAAGGCGCCAGACUAAGGUGGUUAUACCUGUUAUCUGGUCCGAAAGGGCGUGGGUUCGAAUCCCACUCUCGUCA
Molecule: transfer RNA, 94 nt
Filed under: Obba rivulosa
Lineage: Eukaryota; Fungi; Basidiomycota; Agaricomycetes; Polyporales; Gelatoporiaceae
Rfam family: tRNA
About the family: Transfer RNA (tRNA) molecules are approximately 80 nucleotides in length. Their secondary structure includes four short double-helical elements and three loops (D, anti-codon, and T loops). Further hydrogen bonds mediate the characteristic L-shaped molecular structure. tRNAs have two regions of fundamental functional importance: the anti-codon, which is responsible for specific mRNA codon recognition, and the 3' end, to which the tRNAs corresponding amino acid is attached (by aminoacyl-tRNA synthetases). tRNAs cope with the degeneracy of the genetic code in two manners: having more than one tRNA (with a specific anti-codon) for a particular amino acid; and 'wobble' base-pairing, i.e. permitting non-standard base-pairing at the 3rd anti-codon position.
Source: Rfam by way of RNAcentral